GACAAUGUGAGGAAAGUCCGUGCAUCCAAGGACAGAUCGCCGGAGAAACUCCGGACGGCGUGAGCCGGUGGAUUAGGACCACAGAAAACAUACUGCUAACGGCUAAUUAGUACGAGCGAUGGUGCAACGGCGAGGUAAGAGCUCACCGGCGAUGUCGAGAGGCAUCGGCCAGGCAACCCCCGAUAGGAUGCAAGAUUAACUCGAAGGUUUUAAAGGCUGUCCGCCCACUUCGGAAAUAUCGCUAGAGAUUGCGGGUAACCGUAAUACCAGACAGAUGAUUAUCUAUAAACAGAACACGGCUUACGGGCUGCUUUA
Molecule: RNase P RNA, 315 nt
Filed under: chicken gut metagenome
Description: Bacterial RNase P class A
Rfam family: Bacterial RNase P class A
About the family: Ribonuclease P (RNase P) is a ubiquitous endoribonuclease, found in archaea, bacteria and eukarya as well as chloroplasts and mitochondria. Its best characterised activity is the generation of mature 5'-ends of tRNAs by cleaving the 5'-leader elements of precursor-tRNAs.
Source: RNAcentral